RNAcentral lists this transfer RNA (91 nucleotides) under Pseudomonas sp. Cab53. RNAcentral's name for it is "tRNA-Thr". The record is from RNAcentral. Lineage: Bacteria; Pseudomonadati; Pseudomonadota; Gammaproteobacteria; Pseudomonadales; Pseudomonadaceae.
GAAUCACCGGGCUGGCCAUGAUCAGGCCGAUGGUGCUGGCCAGGGCGGUGGGAAAUCCCACCGUGCCCCGGUUCAAGUGCGCGGUGAGUCG